Molecule: long non-coding RNA, 774 nt
Filed under: Panax ginseng (ginseng)
Lineage: Eukaryota; Viridiplantae; Streptophyta; Magnoliopsida; Apiales; Araliaceae
Description: long non-coding RNA (PGIN_LNC014515)
Source: RNAcentral
AAUUUAAUAAACCAUGAAUGCUAACUAAAUGGUCAUGUUGAAAAUUAAGAAGUAAUGUGCGUAAGUGUUGAGUCAUUGUAUUGGCAAGCAUGAGGUGUUGAACUACAAAUAUGAGGUGUUUAACAUUGGAUUGAUGAAAGCCACUAAGCUCACAUAUAUCCGAAGAAAAAAGAGACUUGGAAAAACUUAAUAAUUCAAAGCUAUUCUCAGACUUCUCCCUCUCUUUCUCUCGAGUUCCGUUCCAUUCCAUUCCAUUCUUCUCUCUAAAUUUCAAGUUACAAAUCACUAAAAUUUCCAAGGAGGCAAGGAGUGAAGUUAGUAAACUGAAAUUGAAGGCAAAACAGGUAAGAGGAAGAUUGAUUAUAGCUAAAAUCAAGAUUCAUGUAAAAAUUCGGUUGAUAUAUCAAUCAAAGAAGUAAGUUAUAUAUGUUGUUAAAUUUUUUAAAUUUUAGUAAAUAAGGUUUAGUUAUUGAAUUGAUUGAAUGGAAAUUGUUGGGAUUUUAAUAUGGGAGAUUAGGUGUUGUUGUGCUGAGUAAUAAGGAGGUGUUAUAUGGUGAUUAUUUGGCUAGAACCAUAUUCAAACUCUUAUGAAAACUGAUUUUUAAGGAUAUGACGACAAGUUGUUUGAUAGAAUGCUUGAAUGGGAUUUUUUUUCUAAAAAUUGAAAAUUAGCUAAUGUGGUGAGCUAAGAAGCAUUUAUACAUGUAUUAUGAUAUGUCCUAAGAUGUUUGGGUGAAUCAAACUAAGUCUAAAAGUAGUUCUAUGAACUUUGAG